UACAGAGGUCUCAAGCGUUGUUCGGAUUCAUUGGGCGUAAAGGGUGCGUAGGUCGUCGGGUAAGUCAAAUGUGAAAUCCCGGAGCUCAACUCUGGAACUGCAUUCGAUACUGCCCGGCUCGAGGGUUGGAGAGGAGACUGGAGUUCACGGUGUAGCACUGAAAUGCAAAGAUAUCGUGAGGAUCACCCGUGGCGAAGGCGGUUCUCUGGACAACUCCUGACACUGAGCCACGAAGGCCGGGGAAGCACACGGU
Molecule: ribosomal RNA, 253 nt
Filed under: uncultured bacterium
Lineage: Bacteria
Description: partial 16S ribosomal RNA
Rfam family: Bacterial small subunit ribosomal RNA
Source: RNAcentral